This is a non-coding RNA of Pelobates cultripes (western spadefoot toad), 118 nucleotides long. NCBI's taxonomy places the organism in Eukaryota, Metazoa, Chordata, Amphibia, Anura, Pelobatidae. The record is from the annotation of a GenBank genome assembly.
GUACAAGGCUAAAUAGGGCCCUGGGAUGAGGCACCUGUGACAGGGAGGGGUGCACCUUGGUUUUGCACCCCUCCCUGUCACAGGUGCCUCAUCCCAGGGCCCUAUUUAGCCUUGUACU